GACGAACGCUGGCGGCGUGCUUAACACAUGCAAGUCGAACGGAAAGGCCCUGCUUUUGUGGGGUGCUCGAGUGGCGAACGGGUGAGUAACACGUGAGUAACCUGCCCUUGACUUUGGGAUAACUUCAGGAAACUGGGGCUAAUACCGGAUAGGAGCUCCUGCUGCUUGGUGGGGGUUGGAAAGUGUCGGCGGUUGGGGAUGGACUCGCGGCUUAUCAGCUUGUUGGUGGGGUAGUGGCUUACCACGGCUUUGACGGGUAGCCGGCCUGAGAGGGUGACCGGCCACAUUGGGACUGAGAUACGGCCCAGACUCCUACGGGAGGCAGCAGUGGGGAAUAUUGCACAAUGGGCGGAAGCCUGAUGCAGCAACGCCGCGUGCGGGAUGACGGCCUUCGGGUUGUAAACCGCUUUCGCCUGUGACGAAGCGUGAGUGACGGUAAUGGGUAAAGAAGCACCGGCUAACUACGUG
RNAcentral lists this ribosomal RNA (468 nucleotides) under uncultured bacterium. RNAcentral describes it as "partial 16S ribosomal RNA". It matches the Rfam family "Bacterial small subunit ribosomal RNA", at positions 28 to 507 of the family's 1533-position model. The record is from RNAcentral.